This 684-nucleotide ribosomal RNA is filed under the name uncultured bacterium. RNAcentral describes it as "bacterial SSU rRNA". It matches the Rfam family "Bacterial small subunit ribosomal RNA", at positions 385 to 1073 of the family's 1533-position model. The record is from RNAcentral.
UACGGAUCAACGCCGCGUGAGUGAAGAAGGCCUUCGGGUUGUAAAACUCUGUCUUCAGGGAAGAAACAAAUGACGGUACCUGAGGAGGAAGCCACGGCUAACUACGUGCCAGCAGCCGCGGUAAUACGUAGGUGGCAAGCGUUGUCCGGAAUUACUGGGCGUAAAGAGCGCGUAGGCGGGAAUUUAAGUCAGGAGUGAAAACUGUGGGCUCAACCUACAGCCUGCUCUUGAAACUGGAUUUCUUGAGGGUAUGAGAGGAAAGCGGAAUUCCUAGUGUAGCGGUGAAAUGCGUAGAUAUUAGGAGGAACACCAGUGGCGAAGGCGGCUUUCUGGCAUACAACUGACGCUGAGGCGCGAAAGCGUGGGGAGCAAACGGGAUUAGAUACCCCGGUAGUCCACGCCGUAAACGAUGGAUACUAGGUGUAGGAGGUAUCGACCCCUUCUGUGCCGUAGUUAACACAAUAAGUAUCCCGCCUGGGGAGUACGGCCGCAAGGUUGAAACUCAAAGGAAUUGACGGGGGCCCGCACAAGCGGUGGAGUAUGUGGUUUAAUUCGACGCAACGCGAAGAACCUUACCAGGGCUUGACAUCCUCUGAUUGCCCGUAAGAGAUACGGAGUUCUGCCUUCGGGUAGACAGAAGAGACAAGGUGGUGCAUGGUUGUCGUCAAGCUCGUGUCGUGAGAU